This 415-nucleotide ribosomal RNA is filed under the name uncultured prokaryote. Its description in RNAcentral is "bacterial SSU rRNA". It matches the Rfam family "Bacterial small subunit ribosomal RNA", at positions 505 to 918 of the family's 1533-position model. The record is from RNAcentral.
GUGUCAGCAGCCGCGGUAAUACGUAGGUGGCGAGCGUUGUCCGGAAUCAUUGGGCGUAAAGAGCGCGUAGGUGGCUUGUCAGGUCCGGUGUGAAAUCCUGGGGCUCAACUCCAGGCGUGCAUCGGAAACCGGCCUGCUAGAGUCUGGGAGAGGAGAGUGGAAUUCCUGGUGUAGCGGUGAAAUGCGUAGAUAUCAGGAGGAACACCGGUAGCGAAGGCGGCUCUCUGGAACAGUACUGACACUGAGGCGCGAAAGCUAGGGGAGCAAACAGGAUUAGAUACCCUGGUAGUCCUAGCCGUAAACGAUGGACACUAGGUGUCGGGGGUGUCGACUCCCCCGGUGCCGAAGCUAACGCAUUAAGUGUCCCGCCUGGGGAGUACGGCCGCAAGGCUAAAACUCAAAUGAAUUGACGGGG